UCCCUGGUAGUAUAUCGGUUAGUACACGCGCCUGUCAUCAGCAUCUUGCAAUCUGAUCGCGCGAAAGCUGGGUUCGACUCCCAGCCAGGGAG
Molecule: non-coding RNA, 92 nt
Organism: Gymnopus androsaceus JB14
Lineage: Eukaryota; Fungi; Basidiomycota; Agaricomycetes; Agaricales; Omphalotaceae
Source: the annotation of a GenBank genome assembly